RNAcentral lists this long non-coding RNA (939 nucleotides) under Numida meleagris (helmeted guineafowl). RNAcentral's name for it is "lncRNA (ENSNMEG00000017379.1)". The record is from RNAcentral. Lineage: Eukaryota; Metazoa; Chordata; Aves; Galliformes; Numididae.
UGUCUGCUCAUGAAGCCGGGCCAGAGAUGGCUGUGCUCAACACCACCCACCCUCAGGAGAAGACUUACUCUGCCUUUUUGACACCACUUUUCUCCUGCUGCCUGGCUCACCCACCCACCCUCUUUGUUUCUCUAGCCCAACGGUCCCACUCCUGCAUGCCCAUAUUCCCAUCAUUGUGAUGCACUUGUCACCUGAUGUUAUUGGACACCGCUCCCUCUUCUUUCAGGUCCAUAUCCCGGCUGCUGCUGGAGCACAACACCAGCUUGCCAACUCAGAGUACUUUAGCUCUGUGGAAAAUGAGCAUCAAGGAAGAGCUGUGAACAUCUCUUUCUGCAUAAAAUCACAUCAAGGAGAGCAUUUACGUUUGCACAGUAGGAUCAUUUCAUCAUCAGCAAACUGACAUAUCCUAGAAGAUUGUUGCUUACUCAGACCUCCAGUCCUGAUUUCACCAUAUCAACAGGAAAAAUCACAUUAAAUUUAAUGACACCAAGACGAACGCUUUCAGUUCCUCUCAACCUUCUGGCAGGAAGGCAUACAGGAUGCCUAUACCCAUAUGCACAUAGCCCAGGAAAAGUCAAUAUGGAAUUCUGACUCAAUCAAUUAACAGUACAUACUCAUGCCUAUUGAGGGGAAUAGGAAUCUCACACCGAUACAGCCACCAUCACUAUGCUAUUAAUUACGUGUAUAUAAACAUAACUGGAUGUUCAGAUACCAAGAUAUUGUGAAUGCAAUUACUCUAUGUUUUCAGCCUUUUCAGCCAAAGGAGUACCAGAAUGUCUUGACGAUCAGUUUUUGUAUUUUGUUUUGUUAUUAAGACAGCAUAUCUAAGCAUCAGACAUUGGAUAAAAUCUCAGCUCACAUUUAAGAGAAACAUAAAUUUCUAAACAAAUUUUAAAUGGGCCAAGAGUGUUCUAAACAAAAUGAAAUAAAAUCUUCAAC